UACUCCUACGGGAGGCAGAGUGGGGAAUCUUGGACAAUGGGGGCAACCCUGAUCCAGCAAUGCCGCGUGGGUGAAGAAGGCCUUCGGGUUGUAAAGCCCUUUCGGCGGGGAAGAAAUCGGCCGGGCGAAUAGUCCGGUCGGAUGACGGUACCCGCAGA
This 158-nucleotide ribosomal RNA is filed under the name uncultured bacterium. Its description in RNAcentral is "partial 16S ribosomal RNA". It matches the Rfam family "Bacterial small subunit ribosomal RNA", at positions 334 to 485 of the family's 1533-position model. The record is from RNAcentral.